AUGUAUACUCCUGGCCCCCAAGGAGUGGAGGAUCGGCAGAGCCCAGACCCCACAGGGCACCCCGUGCCAGCGUCCAACUCCAGGGGCUUCUAGGAGCUGGGGCAUCUUGGUCCCCUCUGGAGCCCAACAGAACUCGGAACCGGUAAGCAGGCGCCUCAUCCUAGAGAAGCCCCUGCCCAGCUGGCUUGGCCGGAGCCCUUGAUGAGCAGCGUGUCCUCCUGUGCGUCCUGAGGUCCCAAGGCCGCAGCCACAGACGUUGUCUGGUCAUUUGCCCAGAAGAACCAACGGUAACACAGGGCAGCCCAGUCCCAACCCAGCGGCCUCUGGGACCCCACGCGGGAGCCCUGUGUCCCCUCCCUGUGUGUGUGAGAGGGAGGGCUUGUGUCGGGUGGGCCUGCCCCGAGCGGGAGCAGGCUGAGGGGUCAGAGGGCCGGCUAUGUUAACCCCCCAGGUGAAGGUAGCAGGAGGGAGUGUGGGGACCUGGGGACCCUCUUGGCCGAGGUUUGUACCCAGUCCUGGGGGUGGUCUCACUUCUUCCCGGGAGAGGUCUGUGCACGAUCUGGGAGCAGAAAGUCCAGGGGCGGGGAAAGCAUCAUCCUUGUGCGGGCAGGACUCUGGGUCCUCAGGCCGCCGGCCCGAGGAGGUGGAGGACCAGGGCACCCCCUCCGUCCCCGAGCAAGGGGCGUCCAUGUGGGCGGCACAGGCUUGGGGGCGUGCCGGGGCAGGAAAGGGUCUCGAGGGCCGAGGUGGCUGGGAACGUCCACCUGCACCUGCCUCCUGCAGGGGGCCCAGAGCAGCCGGACGCGCCUUCCUGUGAACUGCCCGCAGCACCGAAUCCCGACCCCGGACCCUUCUCCCUGCUCCCGCCUAGAGCUUGCCUUCCCCUCCCGAUAUUUCUAAUUUCUACUUUUCAUUUGACAUUACUUAUGGUGCCUUUCAGUUGAGGCCUCACUGUCACAGCAUUUAAUUCUUUACACUGUACAUCAUGCACUUCCUAAGCAUGGAGUAUACUCAACGAUGCUGAGUGACCUUCCCCGCGGUUCCACUCCAGAGGAAACCCUGACCCGAGGGCUUGCUCCCUGGCCGCACUCACCUUCCGAGAUGGACCCCACUGUGGAUCUCCCUCAGCAGAUCCAUUUCUGACCUAAAGGAACAAAAGCCGCCCACCCCCCAGCCUCCCUCCCCCAGCCGCUGACGCCCAGAGUCUGCUUUCUGUCUCUUGUCUCUCCCUGCUCUGGAUGUUCCUAUAAACGGAAUCGAGCUAUAGGCACCUCUUUUAUGUAGCCCACAUAUUUUAAGUGGGGAGUGGUUAAUUUUUUUUUAACUUGAAGUAGCAUUCUUGUUAAAUGAAAGGGGAAUUCUAGGUGAGUUAAAA
This 1375-nucleotide long non-coding RNA is filed under the name Bos taurus (domestic cattle). RNAcentral's name for it is "long non-coding RNA NONBTAT004049". The record is from RNAcentral. Lineage: Eukaryota; Metazoa; Chordata; Mammalia; Artiodactyla; Bovidae.